UACAGAGGUCUCAAGCGUUGUUCGGAUUCAUUGGGCGUAAAGGGCGCGUAGGUGGCUUUGUAAGUCAGGUGUGAAAUCUCGGGGCUCAACCCCGAAACUGCACUUGAUACUGCGAUGCUCGAGUACUGGAGAGGAGAUUGGAAUUUACGGUGUAGCAGUGAAAUGCGUAGAUAUCGUAAGGAAGACCAGUGGCGAAGGCGGAUCUCUGGACAGUUACUGACACUGAGGCACGAAGGCCAGGGGAGCAAACGGG
Molecule: ribosomal RNA, 253 nt
Filed under: uncultured bacterium
Lineage: Bacteria
Description: partial 16S ribosomal RNA
Rfam family: Bacterial small subunit ribosomal RNA
Source: RNAcentral